UACGAAGGGGGCUAGCGUUGCUCGGAAUCACUGGGCGUAAAGGGCGCGUAGGCGGCCUGCUAAGUCGAACGUGAAAUCCCCGAGCUCAACUCGGGAACUGCGUCCGAUACUGGCAGGCUUGAAUCCGGGAGAGGGAUGCGGAAUUCCAGGUGUAGCGGUGAAAUGCGUAGAUAUCUGGAGGAACACCGGUGGCGAAGGCGGCAUCCUGGACCGGCAUUGACGCUGAGGCGCGAAAGCCAGGGGAGCAAACGGG
RNAcentral lists this ribosomal RNA (253 nucleotides) under uncultured bacterium. RNAcentral's name for it is "partial 16S ribosomal RNA". It matches the Rfam family "Bacterial small subunit ribosomal RNA", at positions 524 to 776 of the family's 1533-position model. The record is from RNAcentral.